CCUACGGGAGGCAGCAGUGGGGAAUUUUGGACAAUGGGCGCAAGCCUGAUCCAGCAAUGCCGCGUGAGUGAAGAAGGCCUUCGGGUUGUAAAGCUCUUUUGUCAGGGAAGAAACGGUCUACUCUAAUACAGUGGGCUAAUGACGGUACCUGAAGAAUAAGCACCGGCUAACUACGUGCCAGCAGCCGCGGUAAUACGUAGGGUGCAAGCGUUAAUCGGAAUUACUGGGCGUAAAGCGUGCGCAGGCGGUUAUAUAAGUCAGAUGUGAAAUCCCCGGGCUCAACCUGGGAACUGCAUUUGAGACUGUAUGGCUAGAGUGUGUCAGAGGGGGGUAGAAUUCCACGUGUAGCAGUGAAAUGCGUAGAUAUGUGGAGGAAUACCGAUGGCGAAGGCAGCCCCCUGGGAUAACACUGACGCUCAUGCACGAAAGCGUGGGGAGCAAACAGGAUUAGAUACCCUGGUAGUCCACGCCCUAAACGAUGUCUACUAGUUGUCGGGACUUAAUUGUCUUGGUAACGCAGCUAACGCGUGAAGUAGACCGCCUGGGGGAGUACGGUCGCAAGAUUAAAACNCAAAUGAAAUUGACGG
This 587-nucleotide ribosomal RNA is filed under the name uncultured bacterium. Its description in RNAcentral is "bacterial SSU rRNA". It matches the Rfam family "Bacterial small subunit ribosomal RNA", at positions 338 to 916 of the family's 1533-position model. The record is from RNAcentral.